GACAGAGGGUGCAAACGUUGCUCGGAAUUACUGGGCGUAAAGCGCGUGUAGGUGGAUUGGUGUGUCAGAUGUGAAAGCCCUGGGCUCAACCCAGGAACAGCACCUGAAACUACCAGUCUUGAGUGGUGGAGAGGGAAGUGGAAUUCCUGGUGUAGAGGUGAAAUUCGUAGAUAUCAGGAGGAACACCAGUGGCGAAGGCGGCUUCCUGGACACUAACUGACGCUGAGACGCGAAAGCGUGGGGAGCAAACAGG
RNAcentral lists this ribosomal RNA (253 nucleotides) under uncultured bacterium. RNAcentral's name for it is "partial 16S ribosomal RNA". It matches the Rfam family "Bacterial small subunit ribosomal RNA", at positions 524 to 776 of the family's 1533-position model. The record is from RNAcentral.